UCUCUCCCCUCUUAUUUGGUUAUUUGACUUGUACAAUAUCGAUGCCCACUUCCGACCAAAUCGCUUCCAUAGGCCUCUUCUCUUGUUCAAGCUCCAAGCCAGCCGCCUCCUUGUCCAGACCCUCGUCUUGAGCUCUUGAAUCUCAGCAUGGAAUCGAUGGUGAAGCACUCUCGAGUCCGAGAGAGACGGCAAGAAGGUUGCGUUGAUGGGUCUUCCUUCGUCUUCAACGAUGGAAAAGCCAUUGUUACGGAAAUUGGGUAA
RNAcentral lists this long non-coding RNA (261 nucleotides) under Rosa chinensis. RNAcentral's name for it is "sRNA RchiOBHm_Chr6g0282131". Lineage: Eukaryota; Viridiplantae; Streptophyta; Magnoliopsida; Rosales; Rosaceae. The record is from RNAcentral.